This 304-nucleotide ribosomal RNA is filed under the name uncultured Acaulospora. RNAcentral's name for it is "SSU rRNA". It matches the Rfam family "Eukaryotic small subunit ribosomal RNA", at positions 569 to 886 of the family's 1831-position model. Lineage: Eukaryota; Fungi; Glomeromycota; Glomeromycetes; Diversisporales; Acaulosporaceae. The record is from RNAcentral.
AGCUGCCGCGGUAAUUCCGGCUCCAAUAGCGUAUAUUAAAGUUGUUGCAGUUAAAAAGCUCGUAGUUGAAUUUCGGGAUCUAUCCGUCGGUCGGGCCUCACGGUCCGCACUGGUGUGAUGGAUUCCUACCUUCUGAAUAACCGGUAUGCCAUUAAUUUGAUGUGCCGGGGAAGCAGAACCAUUACCUUGAAAAAAUUAGAGUGCUCAAAGCAGGCUUGUGCCUGAAUACAUUAGCAUGAAUAAUAAAAUAGGACGGCAUGGUUGGUUUCUAGGAUCACCGUAAUGAUUAAUAGGGAUAGUUGGG